Molecule: ribosomal RNA, 468 nt
Filed under: uncultured bacterium
Lineage: Bacteria
Description: partial 16S ribosomal RNA
Rfam family: Bacterial small subunit ribosomal RNA
Source: RNAcentral
GACGGACGCUGGCGGCGUGCUUAACACAUGCAAGUCGAACGGAAAGGCCCUGCUUUUGUGGGGUGCUCGAGUGGCGAACGGGUGAGUAACACGUGAGUAACCUGCCCUUGACUUUGGGAUAACUUCAGGAAACUGGGGCUAAUACCGGAUAGGAGCUCCUGCUGCAUGGUGGGGGUUGGAAAGUUUCGGCGGUUGGGGAUGGACUCGCGGCUUAUCAGCUUGUUGGUGGGGUAGUGGCUUACCAAGGCUUUGACGGGUAGCCGGCCUGAGAGGGUGGCCGGGCACCUUGGGACUGCGGUACGGCCCAGACUCCUACGGGAGGCAGCAGUGGGGAAUAUUGCACAAUGGGCGGAAGCCUGAUGCAGCAACGCCGCGUGCGGGAUGACGGCCUUCGGGUUGUAAACCGCUUUCGCCUGUGACGAAGCGUGAGUGACGGUAAUGGGUAAAGAAGCACCGGCUAACUACGUG